UACAGAGGUCUCAAGCGUUGUUCGGAUUCAUUGGGCGUAAAGGGUGCGUAGGUGGCGCCAUAAGUCAGGUGUGAAAUCUCGGAGCUCAACUCCGAAACUGCACUUGAUACUGUGGUGCUGGAGUACUGGAGAGGAGAUUGGAAUUUACGGUGUAGCAGUGAAAUGCGUAGAGAUGCGGAGGAACACCGAUGGCGAAGGCAGCCCCCCUGGGCUAACACUGACGCUCAGGCACGAAAGCGUGGGGAGCAAACAGG
RNAcentral lists this ribosomal RNA (254 nucleotides) under uncultured bacterium. RNAcentral's name for it is "partial 16S ribosomal RNA". It matches the Rfam family "Bacterial small subunit ribosomal RNA", at positions 524 to 776 of the family's 1533-position model. The record is from RNAcentral.